CACAACCACGUACAUGUCGGCACUAUUUCAUUGGCGACUAGAAAUAUAUAUUAUAUGUGGUUUGCACGUCGUGUUCAGAGAGCUCAACAUUAACUUGAAUGCAUUUCCAAUAAUUUCCGAACCAUUUCUGGACCGCGUACAUUCGACACAUAUUCCAUUGACAAGGUAGGUCCAGUCAAAGCAAAACUCAUGAGUCAAAUUAAACAUUCAAUGACAUUAGCACUCACUCAAAGGAGUCCAUACACUUCAACAUCAAUGUAAUCAACUAGUGCAAAUUAAAUUUUUAGUUAUUAUACAUGUACAAGUUUCGCAUUAUACGUCAUGAUCAUUCUAGUUGAUGCGAUUUUUACAAUGCCCGGUCCAUUGCGUCUAUAAGAAUCGAUUUUCCGAUGCAUUUGGCAAUCACACUUCAACCUAGAUCACAAGGUUAAGCAUUAUGGCCUCCAACAACAACAAAAAAAUGGCGAAGGGGGGCAGUAGUAAGACGGUUACUCCACUGAAGAUUUAUUCGGCUUCGCCAACACCUAAUACUCGACAACAUGAUGCCACGAGUUCACGGGCUGCCACGGGGGGCAGUAGCAAGACAGUUACUCCACUAAGGAUUCAUUCGGCCUCGCCAACGCCUAAUACUCGACAACAUGAUGCCACGAGUUCACGAGCUGCCACGGGGGGCAGUAGCAAGACGGUUACUCCACUGAAGAUUCAUUCGGCUUCAACGACAUCUAAUACUCGACAACAUGAUGCGGCGAGUUCACGGGCUGCCACGGGGGGCAGUAGCAAGACGGUUACUCCACUGAAGAUUCAUUCGGCUUCGCCAACACCUAAUACUCGACAACAGGAAGCCUUGAAUGCACGGGCUGCCACGGCGAUGAGUAUGAAUCCUGUUACUCCAGUGACAUUGCGUAAUGCCGGUAAACAUGCAUCUUCAGCUAGUGGUAUGCCUGCGAGUGGAAGGAGACCAUCCACAACAGAGCAGCAGAAACAAAGUCAGGCAUCUUCUACUGAUCAACCCAGACGUCAAGCCCCAUCAUCAUCAGCGAGCAAUAGGAAUGGGCAAUCAUCAGCAAGCAGCAGUCAAAGGGGGCAUGCAGAGUCUCAUGGUGCCGGAAAACCGAAGUCUACAGGAACAAAAAACAAGUGAACUCUAUAGUAUCUUGCUUAUGGAUGGCAAGCUAUGAUGCGUGUAGCAGUUCAAUCGUCCGAUGUUCGAUCUCUAAAAUAAUACAAAUAAUAUGUGUAUUGUACUCUCUUAUAAAUUGGUUGUAAUUUAGUCGGUACGCAAGUGGAACUAAGAGAAAUAUAUGAAUCUGUUACGUGUAGUGGUUUGUAAUUGCCUCUCGAUGGAUUUGCAUGCUGCCCCUAGUCCCUAUUUAUGUAGUGUGUAUUGAGUUCACAUGUAUUUGGGAUUUGGGGUUGUACUAAAAAGUAUUUCAGAGUGUGUAACUCACAAAAAUAGUUCAUUUAUCUUAAAGUAUUUACCAUGGAUGUUGAUGAACGAAAGGUGCUCUACCAUAUAUGUUGUUGCUCCCAAUACUUGCGCGCAGAGCACAACCAGGCUUGCUACAACAAACGAGCACAUGCAGCACACGUCGCACUGGCAAGUACGAAGAAAGGCUCCUGCCCUAGCGGUGAACCUCACCUCCAACACGACGUCAUGAACGCGCAUGGCAGAGCGCUGGCCAGCCCAACUGUAGGUAAGUUUGAUUCUCCAGUUUCGGUGGUAAGUGCCUUCGGUAGCGAAAAAUGCCAAACGGAGACCGAGCUCCAUGGAGGCCUUGAUUUGAAAACUUCAACAUUCAUACUUUUCAGUUUCAAAAAAUUCUGAAAGAAUACACGUUUACC
Molecule: ribosomal RNA, 1842 nt
Filed under: Triticum aestivum (bread wheat)
Lineage: Eukaryota; Viridiplantae; Streptophyta; Magnoliopsida; Poales; Poaceae
Description: partial small subunit ribosomal RNA
Source: RNAcentral